UGCUGCAAGGAGGAAGGGACAGGAGUUCUAGCAAGGGACAGACGGGGUAAGAUGGGCUAGGGACAGGAAGAAGUGAGCUGGAAGUGCAGAAAGAAAGUAGAAGAAGGAGAGAAAGAGCCAGAGCUGUGUGGAGCUACUCAUGGGACUGCAAUAUGUAAAAGGUUGAGGUGCAGUGGAGAUGGAGCCCAGUGAAGCUGAGAGCAGCAGGUGAAGCUGCCAGUCCGGACUUGAUUUUUGACACCUAGAGUACAGAUGUUCUUCAUCUGGAUUGAAUUUGAUCAUGGAUGCUUGUCUUCAUGCAUAAUGAUUCAAAGCUAAAGGAUGAAAGUGUUCUUGGAGCAAAGAAAACACAUUCUGAAUCUUUACUGUAAAUUAUACACUAUACAAAAUCAGUCCAAAUUGUUCAAACCCUUGGACAAUUACAAUGUUAUUCUACUCACCAUGCUGAGUACUGUAUAAUUAUCAUGGUUAGCAGCAGUUUGCUUGCUCUUAGUCCUGAAGGGAGAUACAAGCUUUACUGAACAAGAAAUAAAAGCAGAUGUUAGACCUUAUUUUGUUUUCUGACUCAGCAACUGAAAAUACCCACAAAAUCUGAAGGCUUUUUUCCCCAUUUAUUUAAUUCAUAUAGCAUUAACAAAAACACUCCUAUUGAUCAAAUAUUCACUGUGCUGUACAUAAUGGGUAGUGUGGUUAGUUGCAUGAUUAAAGAAUUUGUGAAGUUGCAACCCCCAGCUUCAUUUGUAAAAAGAAAGAAAAAAAAUCAGAGAUAUUGUUCCCAGAGAAGGAAGAUCCAAUUAACAAGAAACAUUUCAUUGGUUUUCUAGUUUACAAGAUCACCCUUCUCCUAUUAAGUCAAUGAUAGAUUUAUUUGCAUAGUUAAGCAUGCAGGAAACAUACUUCACAUUAAGUCUGUUUGUUUUGUUGGGUUAGUUUACACAUCCUCUUCACAAAGAUGACCAGUCUUCCUUAUGAAAAGUUUUCCAGUAGAAUUAAAUUCCAAGGACUUUCUUGGCUUAUGGGCCAAGCUUUUGAAUCUUGAUAAUUUUUGUGUAAUUGUUUUAAGCCUUUAAUCUAAAUGCCAGAUAUUUCUGCAAACUUUGGGCGGUCCUACUGUUUACUUGAUGUCAAAACUUGGAGCAAAUGGAUCAGGAAGCCAGUAAUAGGAAACACUUUUGGCUUGACCAGUUAGAGGAGGA
Molecule: long non-coding RNA, 1196 nt
Organism: Hirundo rustica (Barn swallow)
Lineage: Eukaryota; Metazoa; Chordata; Aves; Passeriformes; Hirundinidae
Exons: 3
Source: RefSeq, a predicted model, not a curated record